GAUGAACGCUGGCGGCGUGCCUAAUACAUGCAAGUCGAGCGAACGGACGAGAAGCUUGCUUCUCUGAUGUUAGCGGCGGACGGGUGAGUAACACGUGGAUAACCUACCUAUAAGACUGGGAUAACUUCGGGAAACCGUAGCUAAUACCGGAUAAUAUUUUGAACCGCAUGGUUCAAAAGUGAAAGACGGUCUUGCUGUCACUUAUAGAUGGAUCCGCGCUGCGUUAGCUAGUUGGUAAGGUAACGGCUUACCAAGGCAACGAUGCAUAGCCGACCUGAGAGGGUGAUCGGCCACACUGGAACUGAGACACGGUCCAGACUCCUACAGGAGGCAGCAGUAGGGAAUCUUCCGCAAUGGGCGAAAGCCUGACGGAGCAACGCCGCGUGAGUGAUGAAGGUCUUCGGAUCGUAAAACUCUGUUAUUAGGGAAGAACAUAUGUGUAAGUAACUGUGCACAUCUUGACGGUACCUAAUCAGAAAGCCACGGCUAACUACGUG
This 497-nucleotide ribosomal RNA is filed under the name uncultured bacterium. Its description in RNAcentral is "partial 16S ribosomal RNA". It matches the Rfam family "Bacterial small subunit ribosomal RNA", at positions 28 to 507 of the family's 1533-position model. The record is from RNAcentral.